RNAcentral lists this ribosomal RNA (253 nucleotides) under uncultured bacterium. RNAcentral's name for it is "partial 16S ribosomal RNA". It matches the Rfam family "Bacterial small subunit ribosomal RNA", at positions 524 to 776 of the family's 1533-position model. The record is from RNAcentral.
UACGUAGGUGACCAGCGUUGUCCGGAUUUACUGGGCGUAAAGAGCGCGCAGGCGGUCGUUCAAGUCGAGUGUGAAAGCCCCCGGCUCAACUGGGGAGGGUCACUCGAUACUGAUCGACUUGAAGGCAGGAGAGGGAAGCGGAAUUCCCGGUGUAGUGGUGAAAUGCGUAGAUAUCGGGAGGAACACCAGUGGCGAAGGCGACUACCUGGCCUGUUCUUGACGCUGAGGCGCGAAAGCCAGGGGAGCAAACGGG